UUAAGCGACUAAGCGUACACGGUGGAUGCCCUGGCAGUCAGAGGCGAUGAAGGACGUGCUAAUCUGCGAUAAGCGUCGGUAAGGUGAUAUGAACCGUUAUAACCGGCGAUUUCCGAAUGGGGAAACCCAGUGUGUUUCGACACACUAUCAUUAACUGAAUCCAUAGGUUAAUGAGGCGAACCGGGGGAACUGAAACAUCUAAGUACCCCGAGGAAAAGAAAUCAACCGAGAUUCCCCCAGUAGCGGCGAGCGAACGGGGAGCAGCCCAGAGCCUGAAUCAGUGUGUGUGUUAGUGGAAGCGUCUGGAAAGGCGCGCGAUACAGGGUGACAGCCCCGUACACAAAAAUGCACAUGCUGUGAGCUCGAUGAGUAGGGCGGGACACGUGGUAUCCUGUCUGAAUAUGGGGGGACCAUCCUCCAAGGCUAAAUACUCCUGACUGACCGAUAGUGAACCAGUACCGUGAGGGAAAGGCGAAAAGAACCCCGGCGAGGGGAGUGAAAAAGAACCUGAAACCGUGUACGUACAAGCAGUGGGAGCACGCUUAGGCGUGUGACUGCGUACCUUUUGUAUAAUGGGUCAGCGACUUAUAUUCUGUAGCAAGGUUAACCGAAUAGGGGAGCCGAAGGGAAACCGAGUCUUAACUGGGCGUUAAGUUGCAGGGUAUAGACCCGAAACCCGGUGAUCUAGCCAUGGGCAGGUUGAAGGUUGGGUAACACUAACUGGAGGACCGAACCGACUAAUGUUGAAAAAUUAGCGGAUGACUUGUGGCUGGGGGUGAAAGGCCAAUCAAACCGGGAGAUAGCUGGUUCUCCCCGAAAGCUAUUUAGGUAGCGCCUCGUGAAUUCAUCUCCGGGGGUAGAGCACUGUUUCGGCAAGGGGGUCAUCCCGACUUACCAACCCGAUGCAAACUGCGAAUACCGGAGAAUGUUAUCACGGGAGACACACGGCGGGUGCUAACGUCCGUCGUGAAGAGGGAAACAACCCAGACCGCCAGCUAAGGUCCCAAAGUCAUGGUUAAGUGGAAAACGAUGUGGGAAGGCCCAGACAGCCAGGAUGUUGGCUUAGAAGCAGCCAUCAUUUAAAGAAAGCGUAAUAGCUCACUGGUCGAGUCGGCCUGCGCGGAAGAUGUAACGGGGCUAAACCAUGCACCGAAGCUGCGGCAGCGACACUAUGUGUUGUUGGGUAGGGGAGCGUUCUGUAAGCCUGUGAAGGUGUGCUGUGAGGCAUGCUGGAGGUAUCAGAAGUGCGAAUGCUGACAUAAGUAACGAUAAAGCGGGUGAAAAGCCCGCUCGCCGGAAGACCAAGGGUUCCUGUCCAACGUUAAUCGGGGCAGGGUGAGUCGACCCCUAAGGCGAGGCCGAAAGGCGUAGUCGAUGGGAAACAGGUUAAUAUUCCUGUACUUGGUGUUACUGCGAAGGGGGGACGGAGAAGGCUAUGUUGGCCGGGCGACGGUUGUCCCGGUUUAAGCGUGUAGGCUGGUUUUCCAGGCAAAUCCGGAAAAUCAAGGCUGAGGCGUGAUGACGAGGCACUACGGUGCUGAAGCAACAAAUGCCCUGCUUCCAGGAAAAGCCUCUAAGCAUCAGGUAACAUCAAAUCGUACCCCAAACCGACACAGGUGGUCAGGUAGAGAAUACCAAGGCGCUUGAGAGAACUCGGGUGAAGGAACUAGGCAAAAUGGUGCCGUAACUUCGGGAGAAGGCACGCUGAUAUGUAGGUGAGGUCCCUCGCGGAUGGAGCUGAAAUCAGUCGAAGAUACCAGCUGGCUGCAACUGUUUAUUAAAAACACAGCACUGUGCAAACACGAAAGUGGACGUAUACGGUGUGACGCCUGCCCGGUGCCGGAAGGUUAAUUGAUGGGGUUAGCGCAAGCGAAGCUCUUGAUCGAAGCCCCGGUAAACGGCGGCCGUAACUAUAACGGUCCUAAGGUAGCGAAAUUCCUUGUCGGGUAAGUUCCGACCUGCACGAAUGGCGUAAUGAUGGCCAGGCUGUCUCCACCCGAGACUCAGUGAAAUUGAACUCGCUGUGAAGAUGCAGUGUACCCGCGGCAAGACGGAAAGACCCCGUGAACCUUUACUAUAGCUUGACACUGAACAUUGAGCCUUGAUGUGUAGGAUAGGUGGGAGGCUUAGAAGUGUGGACGCCAGUCUGCAUGGAGCCGACCUUGAAAUACCACCCUUUAAUGUUUGAUGUUCUAACGUUGACCCGUAAUCCGGGUUGCGGACAGUGUCUGGUGGGUAGUUUGACUGGGGCGGUCUCCUCCUAAAGAGUAACGGAGGAGCACGAAGGUUGGCUAAUCCUGGUCGGACAUCAGGAGGUUAGUGCAAUGGCAUAAGCCAGCUUGACUGCGAGCGUGACGGCGCGAGCAGGUGCGAAAGCAGGUCAUAGUGAUCCGGUGGUUCUGAAUGGAAGGGCCAUCGCUCAACGGAUAAAAGGUACUCCGGGGAUAACAGGCUGAUACCGCCCAAGAGUUCAUAUCGACGGCGGUGUUUGGCACCUCGAUGUCGGCUCAUCACAUCCUGGGGCUGAAGUAGGUCCCAAGGGUAUGGCUGUUCGCCAUUUAAAGUGGUACGCGAGCUGGGUUUAGAACGUCGUGAGACAGUUCGGUCCCUAUCUGCCGUGGGCGCUGGAGAACUGAGGGGGGCUGCUCCUAGUACGAGAGGACCGGAGUGGACGCAUCACUGGUGUUCGGGUUGUCAUGCCAAUGGCACUGCCCGGUAGCUAAAUGCGGAAGAGAUAAGUGCUGAAAGCAUCUAAGCACGAAACUUGCCCCGAGAUGAGUUCUCCCUGACCCUUUAAGGGUCCUGAAGGAACGUUGAAGACGACGACGUUGAUAGGCCGGGUGUGUAAGCGCAGCGAUGCGUUGAGCUAACCGGUACUAAUGAACCGUGAGGCUUAACCUU
This 2901-nucleotide ribosomal RNA is filed under the name Escherichia coli. Its description in RNAcentral is "bacterial LSU rRNA". It matches the Rfam family "Bacterial large subunit ribosomal RNA". The record is from RNAcentral. Lineage: Bacteria; Pseudomonadati; Pseudomonadota; Gammaproteobacteria; Enterobacterales; Enterobacteriaceae.